GGUGCGCGCUCGCAGGCGCCCGGGCGGCGUCCUCUCGGAGAAAGGCGCAUUGUGCAGCACGGGGGCUGGGGGCAGGGGGCCGGCCGCUGCUUCCCGUUCCUUGUUUAUUCAGCCCAGAACAGAUGGCCCGUUAUGCAGGACGCGGGGAAGGUGGGGGUGUCCCGAGAGCCCUUGGGUCUGAACAAGUCCGAGUCCCCCAUCCUCCAGCACUUAGUUCUCUUUCUGUUCCUGUUUCCUGGUGCCAAAAAUGUGACGCAAAGGCCGCUUGGGACCUGGCUGGGGAGAUGGUGAGGAGGUGGGAGCCUCGGUUUAGCCCCUGGACAGUCAGAGUUGGGGACUCCAGAUGUGCUUUACCUGGAUUGUAGCUGCCUCUGGCACUCAGUGGCACGCCUGAGCUCGUGGCUUUCCCUCUGCCACUCCCCCAAGAAACAAAGCAAAGCAACACAAAACCCUCUGCCGCCAAGGAACACAAACUUCCCAGGUUUUCCUAGUAGGAAAGGACUCUUCACGAUCAUCAAUAAUCAAAGCAGCUUGGUCUGUGGCUGAACCACCAGGAAAGACUGCAAUGGAGCUGAUUUGGUUUUAACAGAGGAUGGUCAGGAGAAAAGAGAGUGAAACUAUGACUGGCAAUGUCCCCAAAAUUAGAGAUGUUGCCAAAUUCAUUGUGAUUACAGAUGCACUGUUCCUCUUCCCAUCCACACUGCAGUGAGGACGAAGCCUGGCAAGUGCCCAGAGCUUAAAAUGGGCAGUGUGAUGUUAAGUCCUUUCAGUACCUGUGAGAGGGAUGGGGAGUGUGAAGAUGAUUAUAAGUGCUGCCAGAGUGUGUGUGGGAAACUCUGCUUUCCACCACAGAAAGCCUGAUCCCUGACAUUUGCAGACAGCUCUGAACUCCUGCUCUGUGUGGUCUGGAAACUCCUUCUCUGUGCCCAGGUUCUUCAACUCCCAGGCUUGGAUCCAGUGGAGAGGGUUUUCUUCUGCCACCAACAGCUCCUUUUGGCAUGUGCUCAACAUUCAGGAGACUUAAAGGAAAUAGCAUUGGAGAGCAAAUAAAUAAAUGGGUCUAUGUCUCUAAGCACACCCUGCCAUGGUGAAUCACUGAGGGUAGAGUGUGGCAAGAAUCAACAAGGGAAGGCUUGGGGAUGAGGCUUCCUGUAAUGAUAAGUCUUUCUGCCAAGCUUCCCGAGCCCCACCACCACAUGUGUGGCCAAAAUAACACACAGAGACUUAUGUUAGUUACAAUGCC
This is a non-coding RNA of Cricetulus griseus (Chinese hamster), 1243 nucleotides long. The record is from RefSeq and is a predicted model, not a curated record. Lineage: Eukaryota; Metazoa; Chordata; Mammalia; Rodentia; Cricetidae.